UACGAAGGGUGCAAGCGUUAUUCGGAUUCACUGGGCGUAAAGGGUGCGCAGGCGGCCAUAUGUGUCAGGUGUGAAAGCCCGAGGCUUAACCUCGGAAUUGCGCCUGAAACUAUGUGGCUAGAGUACUGGAGAGGGUAGCGGAAUUCAUGGUGUAGCAGUGAAAUGCGUAGAUAUCAUGAGGAACACCAGAGGCGAAGGCGGCUACCUGGACAGUUACUGACGCUCAGGCACGAAAGCGUGGGGAGCAAAAGGG
Molecule: ribosomal RNA, 253 nt
Filed under: uncultured bacterium
Lineage: Bacteria
Description: partial 16S ribosomal RNA
Rfam family: Bacterial small subunit ribosomal RNA
Source: RNAcentral